Molecule: long non-coding RNA, 246 nt
Filed under: Carica papaya (papaya)
Lineage: Eukaryota; Viridiplantae; Streptophyta; Magnoliopsida; Brassicales; Caricaceae
Description: long non-coding RNA (CPAP_LNC015899)
Source: RNAcentral
AAUAAAAAGUUCAUACCAAAACCAUCAGGACCCAGCGCUUUAUUGUCGUAACAAGAUUUCAAACCAUUUAAGACCUCUUCAGCAGUGAAUUCUUCUUCCAGUGACUGUCUGCACACGUCAGAUAUUCUGCAAAAAGGAAUACCAUCCAAUUUGGGUAUGAAGGUAUGAUCUUCCCUGUACAGGUUCUUAAAGUGUCUCCUGGCAGCAUCUCUCAAUUCAGAAUUCUCCCAAAUUUUUCUAUUGUCC